AGCGUAGACGGCGACGCAAGUCUGAAGUGAAAUACCCGGGCUCAACCUGGGAACUGCUUUGGAAACUGUGUUGCUAGAGUGCUGGAGAGGUAAGCGGAAUUCCUAGUGUAGCGGUGAAAUGCGUAGAUAUUAGGAAGAACACCAGUGGCGAAGGCGGCUUACUGGACAGUAACUGACGUUGAGGCUCGAAAGCGUGGGGAGUAAACA
This 207-nucleotide ribosomal RNA is filed under the name uncultured bacterium. RNAcentral describes it as "partial 16S ribosomal RNA". It matches the Rfam family "Bacterial small subunit ribosomal RNA", at positions 568 to 774 of the family's 1533-position model. The record is from RNAcentral.